UUAAAUUGAAGAGUUUGAUCAUGGCUCAGAUUGAACGCUGGCGGCAGGCCUAACACAUGCAAGUCGAACGGUAACAGGAAGCAGCUUGCUGCUUUGCUGACGAGUGGCGGACGGGUGAGUAAUGUCUGGGAAACUGCCUGAUGGAGGGGGAUAACUACUGGAAACGGUAGCUAAUACCGCAUAAUGUCGCAAGACCAAAGAGGGGGACCUUCGGGCCUCUUGCCAUCGGAUGUGCCCAGAUGGGAUUAGCUAGUAGGUGGGGUAACGGCUCACCUAGGCGACGAUCCCUAG
This 291-nucleotide ribosomal RNA is filed under the name Escherichia coli. Its description in RNAcentral is "partial 16S ribosomal RNA". It matches the Rfam family "Bacterial small subunit ribosomal RNA", at positions 1 to 286 of the family's 1533-position model. The record is from RNAcentral. Lineage: Bacteria; Pseudomonadati; Pseudomonadota; Gammaproteobacteria; Enterobacterales; Enterobacteriaceae.